RNAcentral lists this ribosomal RNA (1472 nucleotides) under uncultured bacterium. RNAcentral's name for it is "bacterial SSU rRNA". It matches the Rfam family "Bacterial small subunit ribosomal RNA". The record is from RNAcentral.
AGAGUUUGAUCCUGGCUCAGGACCAACGCUGGCGGCGUGCGUGACACAUGCAAGUCGGACGCGCGGGGGGCAACCUCUGGCGCGUGGCGGACGGGUGAGGAACACGUGAGGAACCUGGCCUUGAGUGGGGGAUAACUGUCAGAAAUGAGAGCUAAUCCCGCAUACGGCCGUCCGGGGAGGGCCGGACGGAGAAAGCCUGCGAGGGCGCUCAAGGAGGGGCUUGCGGCCGAUUAGCUAGUUGGUGUGGUAAGAGCGCACCAAGGCGACGAUCGGUAGCUGGUCUGAGAGGACGAACAGCCACACUGGGAUUGAGAACGGCCCAGACUCCUACGGGGGGCAGCAGUGAGGAAUCUUCGGCAAUGGGGGCAACCCUGACCGAGCGACGCCGCGUGCGGGAAGACGGCCUUCGGGUUGUAAACCGCUUUUCUGGGGGACGAGAGAACGGACGGUACCCCAGGAAGAAGCCUCGGCUAACUACGUGCCAGCAGCCGCGGUAAUACGUAGGAGGCGAGCGUUGUCCGGAGUUACUGGGCGUAAAGGGUGCGCAGGCGGCGUUCCGCGUGGCGAGAUGAAAUCUCCUGGCUUACCUGGGAGGGUGGUCGCCAGACGGGAGCGCUUGAGGGUCGGAGAGGGGCGUGGAAUUCCGGGUGGAGCGGUGAAAUGCGUAGAGAUCCGGAGGAACACCGACGGCGUAGGCAGCGCCCUGGACGACACCUGACGCUGAGGCACGAAAGCUGGGGGAGCGAACAGGAUUAGAUACCCUGGUAGUCCCAGCCCUAAACGAUGUCCACCAGGUACCGGGGGGAUCGACCCCUUCGGCGCCGCAGCUAACGUGAUGAGUGGACCGCCUGGGGAGUACGGCCGCAAGGUUGAAACUCAAAGGAAUUGACGGGGGCCCGCACAAGCAGCGGAGCGUGUGGUUUAAUUCGAUGCAACGCGAAGAACCUUACCUGCGCUUGACAUGGCAUUGCACCACCCGUAAUGGGGUGUCCUCUUCGGAGGCGGUGCCACAGGUGCUGCAUGGCUGUCGUCAGCUCGUGCCGUGAGGUGUUGGGUUAAGUCCCCUAACGAGCGCAACCCCUGAGGUCCGUUACCUUGGUGUCGGGCCUGACUGCCGCGCGCAACGCGGAGGAAGGUGGGGAUGACGUCAAGUCAGCACGGCCCUGACGCGCAGGGCGACACACACGCUACAAUGGCCGGUACAACGGGUAGCCAAGCCGCGAGGCGGAGCCAAUCCCAACAAAGCCGGUCUCAGUUCGGAUUGCAGGCUGCAACUCGCCUGCAUGAAGUCGGAGUUGCUAGUAACCGCGGGUCAGCACACCGCGGUGAAUACGUUCCCGGGCCUUGUACACACCGCCCGUCACACCACGAAAGCGGGCAACACCUGAAGCCGCUGGGCUAACUGGGCAACCAGAGGCAGGCGUCGAGGGUGGGGUCGGUGAUUGGGGUGAAGUCGUAACAAGGUAGCCGUA